UACGUAGGGGGCUAGCGUUGUCCGGAAUCAUUGGGCGUAAAGAGCGUGUAGGCGGUCCGGUAAGUCCGCUGUGAAAGUCGGGGGCUCAACCCUCGAAUGCCGGUGGAUACUGUCGGGCUAGAGUGCGGAAGAGGCGAGUGGAAUUCCUGGUGUAGUGGUGAAAUGCGCAGAUAUCAGGAGGAACACCUAUUGCGAAGGCAGCUCGCUGGGACGUAACUGACGCUGAGACGCGAAAGCGUGGGGAGCAAGCAGG
RNAcentral lists this ribosomal RNA (253 nucleotides) under uncultured bacterium. RNAcentral's name for it is "partial 16S ribosomal RNA". It matches the Rfam family "Bacterial small subunit ribosomal RNA", at positions 524 to 776 of the family's 1533-position model. The record is from RNAcentral.